CAGUCUAUGGGUGUCCCCCUUCUAACCUUAAUUCGAGUCUUACCUCCUGUACGUUACGCAUGCUGUUUUUUCCCCUCUGGCUUUUCAGCUGGCUACAGGAGGAUUUGAGCGCGAUGCUGGAAAACAUCCGAACAAAAAAAGCCAGAAAUGACACCCCGUCGCCCUCAGCUCCCCGAAACGCGGACAGCUCGGCUGCCGCUAAGAGUUCGUCUCUGUGGUUUCGGGGAUUCUCUGCUGAGCAGAUUAAAAGUGAGCAAGGUGAUUCGGCCGAACCUUUUGUGGUCCGGUUCGGUAGCCUACGCUCAGACAAAC
Unclassified non-coding RNA from Oryzias melastigma (Indian medaka), 312 nucleotides. Its record names the gene Telomerase-vert. It matches the Rfam family "Vertebrate telomerase RNA". Rfam says of the family: Telomerase is a ribonucleoprotein reverse transcriptase that synthesises telomeric DNA. The record is from Ensembl. Lineage: Eukaryota; Metazoa; Chordata; Actinopteri; Beloniformes; Adrianichthyidae.